RNAcentral lists this ribosomal RNA (667 nucleotides) under Streptococcus thermophilus. Its description in RNAcentral is "bacterial SSU rRNA". It matches the Rfam family "Bacterial small subunit ribosomal RNA", at positions 1 to 651 of the family's 1533-position model. The record is from RNAcentral. Lineage: Bacteria; Bacillati; Bacillota; Bacilli; Lactobacillales; Streptococcaceae.
CAGGAGAUAGGGGUUUGGACAGGCUCAGGAACGAACGCUGGCGGCGUGCCUAAUACAUGCAAGUAGAACGCUGAAGAGAGGAGCUUGCUCUUCUUGGAUGAGUUGCGAACGGGUGAGUAACGCGUAGGUAACCUGCCUUGUAGCGGGGGAUAACUAUUGGAAACGAUAGCUAAUACCGCAUAACAAUGGAUGACACAUGUCAUUUAUUUGAAAGGGGCAAUUGCUCCACUACAAGAUGGACCUGCGUUGUAUUAGCUAGUAGGUGAGGUAAUGGCUCACCUAGGCGACGAUACAUAGCCGACCUGAGAGGGUGAUCGGCCACACUGGGACUGAGACACGGCCCAGACUCCUACGGGAGGCAGCAGUAGGGAAUCUUCGGCAAUGGGGGCAACCCUGACCGAGCAACGCCGCGUGAGUGAAGAAGGUUUUCGGAUCGUAAAGCUCUGUUGUAAGUCAAGAACGGGUGUGAGAGUGGAAAGUUCACACUGUGACGGUAGCUUACCAGAAAGGGACGGCUAACUACGUGCCAGCAGCCGCGGUAAUACGUAGGUCCCGAGCGUUGUCCGGAUUUAUUGGGCGUAAAGCGAGCGCAGGCGGUUUGAUAAGUCUGAAGUUAAAGGCUGUGGCUCAACCAUGGUUCGCUUGGAAACUUCAAACCUGAGUCCAA